Molecule: ribosomal RNA, 1705 nt
Filed under: seawater metagenome
Description: bacterial LSU rRNA
Rfam family: Bacterial large subunit ribosomal RNA
Source: RNAcentral
UCUUUUAAAGAAAGCGUAAUAGCUCACUAGUCGAGUCGGCCUGCGCGGAAGAUUUAACGGGGCUAAACUGAUAACCGAAGCUGCGGACGCAUACUUGUAUGCGUGGUAGAGGAGCGUUCUGUAAGCCGUUGAAGGUGCAUUGUAAAGUGUGCUGGAGGUAUCAGAAGUGCGAAUGCUGACGUGAGUAACGAUAAAGCGGGUGAAAAACCCGCUCGCCGGAAGAUCAAGGUUUCCUGUCCAACGCUAAUCGGGACAGGGUUAGUCGGUACCUAAGGCGAGGCCGAAAGGCGUAGUCGAUGGAAAACAGGUUAAUAUUCCUGUACCGCUAUAUACUGCGAUGGGGGGACGGAGAAGGCUAGGUGAUCAGGGCGAUGGUUGUCCCUGUACAAGCUUGUAGGGAGAUCUCUUAGGUAAAUCCGGGAGAUCAUUAUCCUGAGGAGUGAUGUCGAGCUCAAUUGCGAGCGAAGUCAUUGAUGCCAUGCUUCCAAGAAAAGCCUCUAAGCUUCAGGUAUAUAGAGACCGUACUCCAAACCGACACAGGUGAUCAGGUAGAGAAUACCAAGGCGCUUGAGAGAACUAUGGUGAAGGAACUAGGCAAAAUGGUGCCGUAACUUCGGGAGAAGGCACGCCGAUUUUGGUGAUGGGAUUUACUCCCUAAGCUGAGGUUGGCCGCAGAGACCAGGCCCCUGCGACUGUUUAUCUAAAACACAGCACUCUGCAAACUCGUAAGAGGAAGUAUAGGGUGUGACGCCUGCCCGGUGCCGGAAGGUUAAUUGAUGGGGUUAGCUUCGGCGAAGCUCUUGAUCGAAGCCCCGGUAAACGGCGGCCGUAACUAUAACGGUCCUAAGGUAGCGAAAUUCCUUGUCGGGUAAGUUCCGACCUGCACGAAUGGCGUAACGACGGGGGCGCUGUCUCCACCAUAGACUCAGUGAAAUCGAAAUCGCGGUGAAGAUGCCGUGUUCCCGCGGCUAGACGGAAAGACCCCGUGAACCUUUACUAUAGCUUGGCACUGAACUUUGAAUCUAUCUGUGUAGGAUAGGUGGGAGGCUUUGAAGCGUUAUCGCUAGAUAGCGUGGAGCCACCCUUGAAAUACCACCCUGGUAUAUUUGAGGUUCUAACUCUGACCCAUUAUCUGGGUCGAGGACAGUGUCUGGUGGGUAGUUUGACUGGGGCGGUCUCCUCCCAAAGAGUAACGGAGGAGCGCGAAGGUACACUCAGCAUGGUCGGAAAUCAUGCUAUGAGCGCAAAGGUAGAAGUGUGCUUGACUGCGAGACUGACACGUCGAGCAGGUACGAAAGUAGGUCUUAGUGAUCCGGUGGUUCUGUAUGGAAGGGCCAUCGCUCAACGGAUAAAAGGUACUCCGGGGAUAACAGGCUGAUACCGCCCAAGAGUUCAUAUCGACGGCGGUGUUUGGCACCUCGAUGUCGGCUCAUCACAUCCUGGGGCUGGAGCAGGUCCCAAGGGUAUGGCUGUUCGCCAUUUAAAGUGGUACGCGAGCUGGGUUUAGAACGUCGUGAGACAGUUCGGUCCCUAUCUGCCGUGGGCGUUGGAAAUUUGAGAGGAGCUGCUCCUAGUACGAGAGGACCGGAGUGGACGAACCCCUGGUGUUUGGGUUGUCAUGCCAAUGGCAUUGCCCAGUAGCUACGUUCGGACGGGAUAACCGCUGAAAGCAUCUAAGCGGGAAGCCUCUUCCAAGAUUAAUUUU